AAUAUUGGACAAUGGGGGGAACCCUGAUCCAGCCAUGCCGCGUGUGUGAAGAAGGUCUUCGGAUUGUAAAGCACUUUACGUUGGGAGGAAGGGCAGUAAGUUAAUACCUUGCUGUUUUGACGUUACCGACAGAAUAAGCACCGGCUACCUUCGUGCCACCAGCCGCGGUAAAUCGAAGGGUGCAAGCGUUAAUUGGAAUUAUUGGGCGUAAAGCGCGCGUAGGUGGUUCGUUAAGUUGGAAGUGAAAGCCCCGGGCUUAACCUGGGAAUUGCUUUCAAAACUGACGAGCUAGAGUACGGUAGAGGGUAGUGGAAUUUCCUGUGUAGCGGUGAAAUGCGUAGAUAUAGGAAGGAACAUCAGUGGCGAAGGCGACUACCUGGACUGAUACUGACACUGAGGUGCGAAAGCGUGGGGAGCAAACAGG
This 424-nucleotide ribosomal RNA is filed under the name uncultured bacterium. Its description in RNAcentral is "partial 16S ribosomal RNA". It matches the Rfam family "Bacterial small subunit ribosomal RNA", at positions 360 to 776 of the family's 1533-position model. The record is from RNAcentral.